UUCUAUGGCGGUUCAGGCAGGGGAGACUCAUGUCUCGCCGGUGGAUACCCGGUACUGCGAACCCUGUCUGAACUACCACCAAU
Molecule: non-coding RNA, 83 nt
Filed under: Xenorhabdus doucetiae
Lineage: Bacteria; Pseudomonadati; Pseudomonadota; Gammaproteobacteria; Enterobacterales; Morganellaceae
Source: RNAcentral